RNAcentral lists this ribosomal RNA (192 nucleotides) under uncultured Conoidasida. RNAcentral describes it as "partial small subunit ribosomal RNA". It matches the Rfam family "Eukaryotic small subunit ribosomal RNA", at positions 587 to 841 of the family's 1831-position model. The record is from RNAcentral. Lineage: Eukaryota; Apicomplexa; Conoidasida.
AGCUCCAAUAGCGUAUAUUAAAGUUGUUGCAGUUAAAAAGCUCGUAGUUGGAUUUCAAGGGAAGCAGUAUGGAUUCAUGCUGCCCCCUACCAGUCUUUGACUGUUACUUUGAGAAAAUUAGAGUGUUUCAAGCAGGCGUGAUGCCUUGGAUACUCCAGCAUGGAAUAAUAAGAUAGGACUCAGGUUCUAUUU